RNAcentral lists this non-coding RNA (23 nucleotides) under Arabidopsis thaliana (thale cress). The record is from RNAcentral. Lineage: Eukaryota; Viridiplantae; Streptophyta; Magnoliopsida; Brassicales; Brassicaceae.
UACCAUAAUUUUCCGGCAACCUA